This 4065-nucleotide small RNA is filed under the name Pongo abelii (Sumatran orangutan). RNAcentral describes it as "retained intron". The record is from RNAcentral. Lineage: Eukaryota; Metazoa; Chordata; Mammalia; Primates; Hominidae.
AAAUACAUUUUCAAAAUUAUCUAUUACUAGGUCCACUGGUCUCCACAUAAUGAAACUAUUCUGGCUUCAAGUGGUACUGACCGCCGCCUGAAUGUGUGGGAUUUAAGUAAAAUUGGGGAAGAACAAUCAGCAGAAGAUGCAGAAGAUGGGCCUCCAGAACUCCUGGUACGCAUUGGCUUAUAGAAGAUGAAAUGCCAUAUGCAGAUUGGAUUGUCAUUGAUCUCUUUAUUUCGAGAAUGAGUCAGAACUUUGAAUUCUAGCUCUUGCAGAUGGUUUCAAAAUGGAGGCCCUGAAGGUUAUUGCAAUUGGGCUUUGACGUUUAUCAAAAAUAGUAAAUGGAGCCCAGUAGGUUUUUAUGAAUGUUUCACUGAGAAUGGUUUGAGGUCCUGGAAAAUAGUGUAUAGUAAUUUCUCACUGAUUUCAACUCUGGUAUUUGUGAUGGUUUGGGGAUGGGGAGUGAGUAUAAUUGCUAUUCAGUUGGCAGUACUUAACAUUUCCUAACAGUAUAGAAAAAUUUUAAAUGCUUUUUAAGUUUCCUGCCCAGAAAAGGAGUGCUUUCUCAAUCUUGAUGCUAGCAGAGCCCACUAUCUCCCUCCCAUGCCUGAUUGAAGCAUCACGCAUCUCCUUGGCCCUUUGAAAGCUUAUGUGGUGGUAUCUGCCCAUCCUCAUUCUUACCGUCUGAGUCCUUCAGUGCUCACUUCGUCAUUUUUCUAUGAAGCAUUGCUGGAUUUAGCAAUGGUUCCCUGUCCUUGCUCUGAAUCCAACAUUUGUCUCCUCCCAUUAUUUGGCAGAUAGUCACUCGUCACUCUGUCAUUUAUGAUUUUAGUUCUAAUGCCAGUACUCAUUUUUGGCACACUUGUACUUUGUCCAUGAGUUUUAUUUAUUCAUUUUUUCUGUGAACCUAUGGAGUGUAUUGAAUGUCCACAAGUUUUCAAAGGUAAAGAAGGCCCUUGAGAGCAAGCCCUGCACACACAAGAUGUUCACUAAGCCCACCUUGUAAGAAUGCCCCAGUCCCUUUUAUUGUGAUGACAGCUUUACUGAGAUAGAAUUUACAUACCACAGUUCACUUCUUUAAAGUGUACAUUUCAGUGGGGAGGGAGUGUUCUUGGAUUUUGGGGUGUUUUUUUUUCUUUUUUUGUUCUUGAAGUCAGUGGUUUUUAGUAUAUUCAUAGACUUGUAAAACCAUCACCACAAAUCAAUUCUAGAACAUUAUUCAUCCCCUCCGAAAGAAACUAUAGCUAUCACCUCCCAAUUCUCUUCUUCCUCCAGCCCUUGGCAACUACUAUGCUACUUUCUGGCACAAUAAGAUUGGGCUAUUCUAGAUAUUUCAUAUAAAUAUGACUUUUGUCUUUUGUCUUUUGGGACUGAGUCUUUCACAUAGUACAAUGUUUUCAAGGUCUCCAGCUAUUUUUUUUAGGGAGAAAGGAAAGCGUAUUACUUUGUAUAUUAUGGCUUUGCAACAAUUCCAAGGUCCUUGAGAAAAUACACUAGGAUUUUGCUUUUCACAAGAGAGCUUGAAAUCAAGGGACAUUUGAGAGUAGUAAACUGGGCCUGGGCAUGGUGGCUCCUGCCUGGAAUCCCAGCACUUUGGGAGGCCAAGGCAGGUGGAUCACGUGAGCCCACAAGUUCAAGACCAGGCUGGGAAACAUGGCAAAAACCCUGUCUCUACAAAAAAAAAAAAAAAAAAAAAAAAAAAAAAAAAAAAAAAAAAAAACAUAAAUUAGCCAGGUGUGGUGGCGCGUGCCUGUAGUCCCAGCCACUUGGGAGACUGAGGUAGGAGAAUCACCUGAGCCCAGGAAGUUGAGGCUGCAGUGAGCCAUGAUCACACCACUGCACUCCAGCCUGGGCAAUGGGAGUGAGACCCUGUCCCAAAAACAAAGUAGUAACUAUUCCACCAGUAUGCUUUGAUAACCCCUGUAUGUAUUCUAAGCCCCAGUGAUCUUAAAAUAUAUUCACUUGUGUACCCCUUAAGAGUACUCACUCUGUCGCCCAGGCUGGAGUGCAGUGGUGCAAUCUCAGCUCACUGCAACCUCCGCCUCCCGGGUUCAAGUGAUUCUCCUGCCUCAGCCUCCUGAGUAGCUGGGACUACAGGUGCGCAACACCAUGUCCAGCUAAUUUUUGUAUUUUUAGUAGAGACGGGGUUUCACCAUGUUGGCCAGGAUGGUCUUGAUCUCUUGACCUCGUGAUCCGCCCGCCUCAGCCUCCCAAAGUGGUGGGAUUACAGGUGUGAGCCACCGCACCUGGCCAAUAUAUUCACUUGUGUACCCCUUAAGAGUACUUUAAAAAGCUGUUUACCUCUUUUUUUUUUUUAAGUCAAGGUUUGGUUCUAUCACCCAGGCUGGAGUGCAGUGGCGCAGUCUUAGUUCACUGCAACCUCCACCUCCCAGGUUCAAGCUGUCUUCCCAUCUCAGUCUCCUGAGUAGCUGGGACUACAGGCACACCCCACCACGCCCCGCUAAUUUUCGUAUUUUUUGUAGAGACGGGGUUUUGUCAUGUUGCCCAGGCUGGUCUUGAACUCCUGAGCUCGAGCCAUCCGCCUGCUUUGGCCUCCCAUAGUGCUGGGAUUACAGGCGUGAGUUUUACCCAGCCCCACCUCAUAUUUUUAACCCGAUAAGAUUAUUCGGUAAAAUAGAUACAUUGCAUAAUACCUAGUUGGCAGGCAGAGACCUCAUUGUCAAACUAGAGUCAAAUCAGACUUUGUCAGAAAGUGUGAUGUCCCAGUUCCAAACAAUGUAUUUUGUACUGUCCUUGUGAAGAAGUGUUUCGUUUAAAUCUUAAUUCUAAGAUAAAUAAGGCAUAGUGCGUUCCCACGAGGUUGUCUCUUGCAGGGAACACCUGCUGUCUUCAGAAUUGUUGAGCGAAGCUGUCUCACCUUAGGCAUAGCUUAUGAGGGACUAUCUGGAGCUAUGCUUUUGGAGCCAGGGAUUUUCUUUUGCCCUGGUGCUAUCUGUGUACGUUGGAAAGAUGGGCAAGAAGUAUGCCUCUCUUAGUAAAGUGGAGAGGGGAAGAACCAGAAGACUCCUCAGGCCCCUUGUAUAAUAGCAGAGUAUGUUACAUGGCAUAUAACAGAUUGAUUACCUUAGAUGUUUGCACCUAACUGUAUAUGAGCAAAUGAUGCCGGAUUAAUGUUCAUCAUAAUCAGUAUGGAAAUGGCAUUUUGAUUAUGUAGGAAAAUGUUUUCAUUCUUAAGGGAUGCAGACUGAAGUCUUCAGCCAUUUCAUUGUAUAGGCUCUUGGAUAAAGCAUCAGUUAUGCUAGUAGUACUUGGUGAAUCUAGGUAAAGGGUAUACAGGUAUCCAUUGUACUAUAUUCUGUCACCUUUUCUGGAGGUUUGGAAACUUGCAAAAUAAGUAUAAAUAGAUCACUGAGCCUGUACCAGCCUCUCUCUAAAACGAGACAGCACCCACCCCCAGUUGAAAUACUGAUGGCUCUAAAAACUUAGUAAAAUCUUUGUUAAGAUUAACAGGAGAGUAUAUGAAACCAAAGCUUUUUUUGUUCUUGUAACAGUUUAUUCAUGGAGGACACACUGCUAAGAUUUCAGAUUUUAGCUGGAACCCCAAUGAGCCUUGGGUCAUUUGCUCAGUGUCUGAGGAUAACAUCAUGCAGAUAUGGCAAAUGGCUGAAAAUAUUUACAAUGAUGAAGAGUCAGAUGUCACGACAUCCGAACUGGAGGGACAAGGAUCUUAAACCCAAAGUACGAGAUGUUUCUGUUGAAUGUAAUGCUACAUGAAUGCUUGAUUUGUCAAGCGCCAAAAAGGCAUUGUAUAGUAGGAAAUGUAAGUGGGGUGGCUUAUGGCUUCUUUAUCCUCUGAUUCUAGCACUUUCAAGUGAGCUGUUGCGUACUGUAUCAUAUUGUAGCUAUUAGGGAAGAGAAGAAUGUUGCUUAAGAAAGAACAUCACCAUUGAUUUUAAAUACAAGUAGCAGGGUAUUGCCUUUGAUUCAACUGUUUUAAGUCCUCAUUUUCUCAAACUAAGUGCUUGCUGUUCCCAAAUAUGCAAGAAUAACUUUUACACUUUUUCCUUCCAACACUUCUUGAUUGGCUUUGCAGAAAUAAAGUUUUAAAAU